Molecule: ribosomal RNA, 455 nt
Filed under: uncultured bacterium
Lineage: Bacteria
Description: bacterial SSU rRNA
Rfam family: Bacterial small subunit ribosomal RNA
Source: RNAcentral
AAUCAACGCUGGCGGCGUGCCUCAGACAUGCAAGUCGAACGAUUAAAGCUCUCUUCGGAGAGUGUAUAGAGUGGCGCACGGGUGAGUAACACGUAAGUAAUCUACCUUUGAGUGGGGAAUAACGUCCGGAAACGGACGCUAAUACCGCAUAAUGCAGCGGCAUCGCAAGAUGACAGUUGUUAAAGAUUUAUCGCUUGAAGAGGAGCUUGCGGCAGAUUAGCUAGUUGGUAAGGUAAUGGCUUACCAAGGCUACGAUCUGUAACCGGUCUAAGAGGACGGUCGGUCACACUGACACUGAAUAACGGGUCAGACUCCUACGGGAGGCAGCAGUCGGGAAUUUUGGCAAUGGGCGAAAGCCUGACCCAGCAACGCCGCGUGAAGGAUGAAGUAUUUCGGUAUGUAAACUUCGAAAGAAUGGGAAGAAUCAAUGACGGUACCAUUUAUAAGGUCCGGCU